Molecule: unclassified non-coding RNA, 508 nt
Filed under: Homo sapiens (human)
Lineage: Eukaryota; Metazoa; Chordata; Mammalia; Primates; Hominidae
Description: LON peptidase N-terminal domain and ring finger 1 (ENSG00000285360.2)
Source: RNAcentral
GAAGAGUCCCAGUCAUCUGCCGAAGGUGCGCUCCCAGGCCCCCUGCUUGGGCGCGCCCACCUGGAACCUGGGCGUAGAGCUAUGAAAAUGCAGACCCGCACAAGCGCGAGGCCACGCGGGGAGACCCCCGCCCGCCAGGAGUUGGGGCAGAACCCAGUGACUUGAUUGUAAAAAUUUACAGAGCGGAAUCAUAUGCUGGUCUCCAAGAGUUUAAAGCAGCCAUAGAAGAUUUAAAUGCAGUUCUUUUUCAACUUCCAGAUUGGCCUGAGGUCUACUUCAGGAAAGGAAAAGUACUCUGCGAUGCUGGUUUUUUAGGUGAUGCCUUACAACUCUUUCUUCAGUGCUUAGCCCUUGAUGAAGAUUUUGCACCUGCAAAGCUGCAAGUACAAAAGAUUUUAUGUGAUUUAUUAUUACCUGAAAACUUAAAAGAAGGCCUGAAGGAAUCUUCCUGGAGUUCAUUACCAUGUACUAAAAACAGACCUUUUGAUUUUCAUUCAGUGAUGGAAGA